GGUAAUACGAAAGGUGCAAGCGUUGUUCGGAAUUACUGGGCGUAAAGCGCACGUAGGCGGGUCCGUGUGUCGAUUGUGAAAGCCCUGGGCUCAACCCCGAGACGCCAUCCGAUACUGCUGUGGCUUGAGUCUGGUAGGGGAACACGGAAUUCCUGGUGUAGCGGUGAAAUGCGCAGAUAUCAGGAGGAACACCGAUGGCGAAGGCAGUGUUCUGGGCCAGUACUGACGCUGAGGAGCGAAAGCGUGGGUAGCAAACA
This 257-nucleotide ribosomal RNA is filed under the name uncultured bacterium. RNAcentral describes it as "partial 16S ribosomal RNA". It matches the Rfam family "Bacterial small subunit ribosomal RNA", at positions 519 to 774 of the family's 1533-position model. The record is from RNAcentral.